Molecule: long non-coding RNA, 3901 nt
Organism: Lycium barbarum (goji berry)
Lineage: Eukaryota; Viridiplantae; Streptophyta; Magnoliopsida; Solanales; Solanaceae
Exons: 2
Source: RefSeq, a predicted model, not a curated record
UGAUUUUUUUUUUUUUUUACAAAAAGUGUGGAAAAACAGUGUAAAAAAAAUCCAGAAAGCUAUUUUUUAAAAAAUCUAGAAGAAAAUUAUGGAGUACUAGUUUUGCAAAUUUUACUUAAAAAAUCAUUUUUUCAGAUUUAUAAAAUCCAAAUUUCAAUAAAAUAAAUAAAUCAAUUUUCCCUAUUUAAAGAAAAUAGUGUUUUCCACCCUUUUUGUUUAAAAAAAAUCAGUUUCAUAUUUAAAAAAAUUCCACAUUUGUUAAUGAAAAUCCAAUCCUUUAAAAAAAAAAGGCUUACCACAUUUUUAAAAAAAAAUUAUUGUUCCAGAUUUUAUAAAAAAAUCAAUUUUUUCAGAUUUAGAAAAUCGGACUAGUAAUAAAAUGCCAUGUGUAAUUUAAAUAUUGUUUUUUUAAAAUUUAGUGUUGACCGCUAGUCAAAGAGCAUAAAUGAGCCAAAAAUUGAACUGAGGGUAUAUUUAGCAAAACAGAUAGAUGAAGGAUAUUUUAGAUCUUUUUUAAUAGUUCAAGGGCAUUUUUGCCCUUUUCAGUUAAAUUUUUAACAGAAUAUUUGGGAGUUGACUAAAAGUGCGAUACUUAUGCAAAUAUAAUGGACUAUUAAUACUCCAUGUAAAAAAACAUGUAUGAUUUUAAUUCCAAAUUAAAAAAUAAUGUACUAUUUUUGUCCCUUUCUCUGACUAAUUGCAUCACUUUAACACUUCACAUCAACAAAUCAAUCAUAUUAAAAUAAAUGGGCUAUUUCUAGCGGAAAUCAUAAGAUUUCAUUGCGUCACGCAAUUUGUGUACUAAAUUUAAGCGGACAAUUGAUUUGCUCUACAUUAUGUUAAUGGUAACAUGCCAUUUGUCUUAUUGAUAGCACUAUUAGAUAUGAAGACAAUGGCGACUGAUUUCUUCACUUUCUAUGUCUAAUUCAUAAAGUUAUUGGAAUAUUUCUUUUUCUAUGUUUUACGAGUCGUAAUUAAACAGUGUAAAAAGAACUAUAAUUUGAUAUUAGACUUCUUUAUCUUUUUUCCUUAAUAAAUUCUUAGAGUAUGAUGGUUCACCGUUCAUGCUUGGCCGUAUGAUCUUUUCAUAUUGAGCUAAUUUCUGUUUUUUUUUUUGUUUCAUUUUCAUCAUCUCAUAUUUAUAAUUUAGUACUUAAUGAUUGUGUUAGUAUCCUACUUCAACAUAUGUAUUUGAUUCGACUUUCUUGAUCUCUUUUGUAUUUGAUUCAACUUUUUUGAUCUCCCCUCUUUUCAUGCACAUCAUCACUUUUCUUUACUACCUAAAUUAUUGGUUUUAGUGAUUCUACUGUAUUGUGAUUUGUGACUGAGAAUUUUAAUGAUAAGAUAAAAGUCUCACUCUUCAUCUUUUUGUUAUAUUCAAUGUAUAUUUGAAACAACAACAAUAACAACCAUGAUGAUGAUGAGGAGGAUGAUGGUAGUAGCAGCAACAAUAUCAGCUUGAAUUUUUCCCCUAAACUUAGCACCUUCUUCUUGUGGAAUAAAGUUUUCUUUUAUCUAUAAAUAGGAGGCUUUCUUACCCCAAUUGUAUGAAUAGAUUAUUGAGAAUAAAAAUCUCUACAACUUUCUCCAUCUCUUAUUAUUAUUAUUAUUAUUAUUAUUAUUAUUAUUAUUAUUAUUAUUAUUAUUAUUAUUAUUAUUAUUAUUAUCAUUUUAUAACAUAACUGAUGACGUGACCAAAAACAUUAUUCCUAACGGCCAAAAGGAUCAUCGAGUGAUGUUUGAUUGAAAUAAUGGGAGUUGUCUCUAUUCAUUGUCUUACCAUUUUUAAUGCACGACCCUCAACAAUGUAAGUUACUAUUGCUUUUGGCCUCAAGUUCUUUGAUUUUUUUUAAAAAAAAAAAAAAAUUGUUAAAAAAAUUGAAAAUAAUUUAAUUUUAAUAUUCUAUUUUAUUCUAAAUGUAAGUGUUUUAUAGCCACAUACAUUAUGAUAUAUUUAAGAUUAGACGUUUUAAAAGUUCUAUAAUCACUCAAAAUAUUAUGUGACAUAUUUAAGACCACAAGAUUUAUUUUUCUUAGAUUUUGUAUCUAGUUAAAUAGGCAUAUAUAAAAUGGAAGGGCAGAGUAGUUUGUGAUGAAGAGUUUGUCUAGAGUUUUAGUUAUAUACAUUAUUAGUGUAAAUUUGUUUUACAUUGCUAGGUCACACUAAAAUUAGGGCAAUGGCCUUUUUUUGGGUCUGCUAUGAGUUUUUAGCCACCAUUUCAACAGUAACAAGGAAAUAGUCACACUUUAAUGUGAAAAUUAGCAAUUUCAAACAAAAAUAACCCUACUUAAAACAUGGAAGAAUUUACAAAGUUUGAACCCCAUGACAUGUUCCUUGGUUUUGAAAACUUAUAAAGGUAUGAAACCAAUGAAUCCUUUCUUGGUUUUGAAACUCCAGCAAAAUAUUGAACCUAAUGAGACCUUCCUUGGUUUUGAAAACUUAUAAAGGUGUAAUGACCCUCCGGAUCAUUUUGAGCUUUUAUAAUAUUUGUUCCCAAAAUACCCUUCUCGUAGAAUUAAAAUAGUAUUUUUGACUUGCGAGGAUGGGUGGCGAAGUUCCCGAGGCAAUCGGGUGAGUAUCAGAAAAGAAUUAGUGAAAAAGGAAGCUUGACCAAAGUCAAUAGCGAGGUAAAUGGGUCUGUAUCGGAGUUUCGUCGAUUUGAUUAGGUCCGAAAUGUGAUUUUUGACUUAGUUGAGUAGUUGGUUCGGGUCCCUGGGGGCUCAGGUGAGUUUUGAACCUUAGGUUGGAAACUAGUUAAGUUUAAAGUUUAGAGUUGACCACGGUCAACAUCGUGUCAACACGGCCCCGUUUCGACGUUUGGAGUGAGCGAGCAGGUUCGUAGCGUAUUGUGUGACUGGAAUGCAUAUUUGAUAUAUGUCCGGGAGGUUCCAGAUGAGUUCCACAUGUUAAUUGAAAGAUUGAAGACACCAGAAAUUUCUGGUAUCUGGUGUGACCGCAAUUGCGUUGAGGGAGCACAAUCGCGCUCAAGGGAGAGAUUUUUUGUCAGCGCUAUCGCACUAUAGGGGUGGGAUCACUCAGUAGGGGAUAUUUCGGUCAGAGCGACUGCGCUGUGGGUGGGAUUCUUCGUCAACGUAUCGCGCUAGCUUGAGUGUAUAGGGUGCACUGGGCCACAACGAUCACGCCAAUUAGGUUUCAGGUGUUAAAAAGGAGCAGAGUCGGGAUUUGAGGUUUAUUUCACUAUUGUUGGUGUUCUAGAGCUUGGAUUUAGGUGAUCUUGGAGGCUAUUUUCUCGUUUUCGGGGGGAGGGGGAGGGGGGUUGGUUAAAAUUCUAAUUCAUAUUUUUUAUAUUACCUCUUGAUUUCUUUCAUUAAUUAGCUUCCUAAUCCAUGAUCUUGAGUGGGAAAUUGGGGUUUAGCCUUAGAGUUGAAAUUGUGUAUUUCUUCGAUUUCAAGGUCGAUUUGUGGAUAGUUUUACCCUUGUGGGCUCGGGUUACCUUUUGGGUUUGUUUUUGAGUUCUAAUCAAAGUAUUGCAAUAUGCAUGUCAACAGGCUUGUUUACUUACGAAUAACGAGUAUUUGAUAGAUCGGGAACAACCCGAGGCUUUGAGGAAAGCGAAGGCGAUCUUUUGAGGUUUUUGGAAUGUUUGCUCGACAUUCGAGAUUCGAUUCCGAGUACUAGCGGGCCUCGUGGAGCGCAUUAAGCUCGAGUACUGUUGAUUGGAGAUUGUGGUAAGCUGUCUGGUUGUCCCGUAGCACCCUUCUCCCUCUAUCCCUUUUAUAUUUUGUCUUCUAGUAUUUAGACAGUGUAUUUCCAUAUUUUCGACAAUGUAUUUUUGUAUUCAUACUUGUAGCUUAUUGUACUAGCUCUUGUACUUAUAACACGAAUCUUGGGAGGCUUUGUCGUUUCUGCAUUUCUUAUUAUAUGACUUGGUAUUAGAUA